RNAcentral lists this ribosomal RNA (350 nucleotides) under Acanthamoeba genotype T3. RNAcentral describes it as "SSU rRNA". The stretch from base 1 to 300 matches the Rfam family "Eukaryotic small subunit ribosomal RNA", at positions 810 to 1116 of the family's 1831-position model. The record is from RNAcentral. Lineage: Eukaryota; Discosea; Longamoebia; Acanthamoebidae.
UGGAAUAGGACCCUGUCCUCCUAUUUUCAGUUGGUUUGCCGCGAGGACCAGGGUAAUGAUUAAUAGGGAUAGUUGGGGGCAUUAAUAUUUAAUUGUCAGAGGUGAAAUUCUUGGAUUUAUGAAAGAUUAACUUCUGCGAAAGCAUCUGCCAAGGAUGUUUUCAUUAAUCAAGAACGAAAGUUAGGGGAUCGAAGACGAUCAGAUACCGUCGUAGUCUUAACCAUAAACGAUGCCGACCAGCGAUUAGGAGACGUUGAAUACAAAACACCACCAUGCGCAUUGCGGUCGUCUUUGGUGUCGCUCACAAGGCGGCACCGGGGCGGCUUAGCUCGCAUGGCACCGGUGAAUGA